This 406-nucleotide ribosomal RNA is filed under the name uncultured bacterium. Its description in RNAcentral is "partial 16S ribosomal RNA". It matches the Rfam family "Bacterial small subunit ribosomal RNA", at positions 30 to 526 of the family's 1533-position model. The record is from RNAcentral.
AUUGAACGCUGGCGGCAGGCCUAACACAUGCAAGUCGAGCGAGCGGCGGACGGGUGAGUAAUGUCUGGGUAACUGCCUGAGGGGGGGGGAUAACUACUGGAAACGCUAGCUAAUACCGCAUACCAUCCGGUCUGCCCAGAUGGGAUUAGCUAGUGGGUGGGGUACCGCCUCACCAAGGCGACGAUCCCUAGCUGGUUUGAGAGGAUGACCAGCCACACUGGAAAUGAGACACGGUCCAGACUCCUACGGGAGGCAGCAGUGGGGAAUAUUGGACAAUGGGCGAAAGCCUGAUGCAGCCAUGCCGCGUGUGUGAAGAAGGCCUUCGGGUUGUAAAGCACUUUCAGCGGGGAGGCGGUACCCGCAGAAGAAGCACCGGCUAACUCCGUGCCAGCAGCCGCGGUAAUUC